UGCCACAGAAACUCUGAGCCCAUUGGC
RNAcentral lists this non-coding RNA (27 nucleotides) under Homo sapiens (human). Lineage: Eukaryota; Metazoa; Chordata; Mammalia; Primates; Hominidae. The record is from RNAcentral.